This 512-nucleotide ribosomal RNA is filed under the name uncultured microorganism. RNAcentral describes it as "bacterial SSU rRNA". It matches the Rfam family "Bacterial small subunit ribosomal RNA", at positions 9 to 508 of the family's 1533-position model. The record is from RNAcentral.
GAGUUUGAUCGUGGGCUCAGGAUGAACGCUGGCGGCGUGCCUAAUACAUGCAAGUCGAGCGAACGGACGAGAAGCUUGCUUCUCUGAUGUUAGCGGCGGACGGGUGAGUAACACGUGGAUAACCUACCUAUAAGACUGGGAUAACUUCGGGAAACCGGAGCUAAUACCGGAUAAUAUUUUGAACCGCAUGGUUCAAAAGUGAAAGACGGUCUUGCUGUCACUUAUAGAUGGAUCCGCGCUGCAUUAGCUAGUUGGUAAGGUAACGGCUUACCAAGGCAACGAUGCAUAGCCGACCUGAGAGGGUGAUCGGCCACACUGGAACUGAGACACGGUCCAGACUCCUACGGGAGGCAGCAGUAGGGAAUCUUCCGCAAUGGGCGAAAGCCUGACGGAGCAACGCCGCGUGAGUGAUGAAGGUCUUCGGAUCGUAAAACUCUGUAUUAGGGAAGACAUAUGUGUAAGUAACUGUGCACAUCUUGACGGUACUAAUCAGAGCACGGCUAACUACGUCG